UGAGGGAAAGGCGAAAAGAACCCCGGCGAGGGGAGUGAAAAAGAACCUGAAACCGUGUACGUACAAGCAGUGGGAGCCUCUUUAUGGGGUGACUGCGUACCUUUUGUAUAAUGGGUCAGCGACUUAUAUUCUGUAGCAAGGUUAACCGUAUAGGGGAGCCGAAGGGAAACCGAGUCUUAACUGGGCGUUAAGUUGCAGGGUAUAGACCCGAAACCCGGUGAUCUAGCCAUGGGCAGGUUGAAGGUUGGGUAACACUAACUGGAGGACCGAACCGACUAAUGUUGAAAAAUUAGCGGAUGACUUGUGGCUGGGGGUGAAAGGCCAAUCAAACCGGGAGAUAGCUGGUUCUCCCCGAAAGCUAUUUAGGUAGCGCCUCGUGAAUUCAUCUUCGGGGGUAGAGCACUGUUUCGGCUAGGGGGUCAUCCCGACUUACCAACCCGAUGCAAACUGCGAAUACCGAAGAAUGUUAUCACGGGAGACACACGGCGGGUGCUAACGUCCGUCGUGAAGAGGGAAACAACCCAGACCGCCAGCUAAGGUCCCAAAGUCAUGGUUAAGUGGGAAACGAUGUGGGAAGGCACAGACAGCCAGGAUGUUGGCUUAGAAGCAGCCAUCAUUUAAAGAAAGCGUAAUAGCUCACUGGUCGAGUCGGCCUGCGCGGAAGAUGUAACGGGGCUAAACCAUGCACCGAAGCUGCGGCAGCGACACUAUGUGUUGUUGGGUAGGGGAGCGUUCUGUAAGCCGUUGAAGGUGUAUCGUGAGGUAUGCUGGAGGUAUCAGAAGUGCGAAUGCUGACAUAAGUAACGAUAAUGCGGGUGAAAAACCCGCACGCCGGAAGACCAAGGGUUCCUGUCCAACGUUAAUCGGGGCAGGGUGAGUCGACCCCUAAGGCGAGGCCGAAAGGCGUAGUCGAUGGGAAACAGGUUAAUAUUCCUGUACUUGGUGUUACUGCGAAGGGGGGACGGAGAAGGCUAUGUUAGCCGGGCGACGGUUGUCCCGGUUUAAGCAUGUAGGCGGAGGUUCCAGGUAAAUCCGGUACCUUUUUAACGCUGAGGUGUGAUGACGAGGCACUACGGUGCUGAAGUAACAAAUGCCCUGCUUCCAGGAAAAGCCUCUAAGCAUCAGGUAACACGAAAUCGUACCCCAAACCGACACAGGUGGUCAGGUAGAGAAUACCAAGGCGCUUGAGAGAACUCGGGUGAAGGAACUAGGCAAAAUGGUGCCGUAACUUCGGGAGAAGGCACGCUGAUAUGUAGGUGAAGUGAUUUACUCAUGGAGCUGAAAUCAGUCGAAGAUACCAGCUGGCUGCAACUGUUUAUUAAAAACACAGCACUGUGCAAACACGAAAGUGGACGUAUACGGUGUGACGCCUGCCCGGUGCCGGAAGGUUAAUUGAUGGGGUUAUCCGUAAGGAGAAGCUCUUGAUCGAAGCCCCGGUAAACGGCGGCCGUAACUAUAACGGUCCUAAGGUAGCGAAAUUCCUUGUCGGGUAAGUUCCGACCUGCACGAAUGGCGUAAUGAUGGCCAGGCUGUCUCCACCCGAGACUCAGUGAAAUUGAACUCGCUGUGAAGAUGCAGUGUACCCGCGGCAAGACGGAAAGACCCCGUGAACCUUUACUAUAGCUUGACACUGAACACUGGUCCUUGAUGUGUAGGAUAGGUGGGAGGCUUUGAAGUGUGGACGCCAGUCUGCAUGGAGCCAUCCUUGAAAUACCACCCUUUAAUGGCUGGUGUUCUAACGUGGACCCGU
This 1750-nucleotide ribosomal RNA is filed under the name Citrobacter freundii. RNAcentral describes it as "partial 23S ribosomal RNA". It matches the Rfam family "Bacterial large subunit ribosomal RNA", at positions 504 to 2236 of the family's 2925-position model. Lineage: Bacteria; Pseudomonadati; Pseudomonadota; Gammaproteobacteria; Enterobacterales; Enterobacteriaceae. The record is from RNAcentral.